Pelobates cultripes (western spadefoot toad) is the source of this 304-nucleotide non-coding RNA. The record is from the annotation of a GenBank genome assembly. NCBI's taxonomy places the organism in Eukaryota, Metazoa, Chordata, Amphibia, Anura, Pelobatidae.
GUGGGAGACCUGCAUAAAAGCCUCAAAACCAAGUGUUGUCUCAUUAUUGGGGGAAUUGGAUUGUAUGCUGAUUGCCAGGAGUGUAAGCUGAUUGUAUGCUUUUCCUGUUCAGCUGCUUACAGCAUUCAAAUGCUUGAGAGCAUUCGUAUGCUUCUCUGGUUUGGUGUUUGUGGUGUCUGCUGCAGUGCUUGUAGUCCUCAGGAAGCACUAGGAGCAUCCUUCAACGGAGUUACCCAGUCGGGGUGCCAGGUGAUCCGUUACAGCCUCCUUGGCUGAGAUCAUUGACAAUCUCAGCCAAUCCAAU